CGCCGUUCUCAGGGCGGGGCGGAAUUCCCCACCGGCGGUAUGCGGGCACAGGCCCGCCAGCCCGCGAGCGGCUCUGCCAUCCAUCGGCAGAGUGUCAGCAGAUCUGGUGAGAGGCCAGAGCCGACGGUCAAAGUCCGGAUGAAAGAGAACGAGC
RNAcentral lists this non-coding RNA (154 nucleotides) under Ruegeria lacuscaerulensis. RNAcentral's name for it is "Silicibacter lacuscaerulensis FMN sequence". It matches the Rfam family "FMN riboswitch aptamer (RFN element)". From Rfam's summary of the family: The RFN element is a highly conserved domain that is found frequently in the 5'-untranslated regions of prokaryotic mRNAs that encode for flavin mononucleotide (FMN) biosynthesis and transport proteins. This element is a metabolite-dependent riboswitch that directly binds FMN in the absence of proteins. In Bacillus subtilis, the riboswitch most likely controls gene expression by causing premature transcription termination within the 5' untranslated region of the ribDEAHT operon and precluding access to the ribosome-binding site of ypaA mRNA. The record is from RNAcentral. Lineage: Bacteria; Pseudomonadati; Pseudomonadota; Alphaproteobacteria; Rhodobacterales; Roseobacteraceae.